AUCAAGCAGAAGACCAAAAACAAC
Molecule: non-coding RNA, 24 nt
Filed under: Arabidopsis thaliana (thale cress)
Lineage: Eukaryota; Viridiplantae; Streptophyta; Magnoliopsida; Brassicales; Brassicaceae
Source: RNAcentral